ACGUAGGGAGCGAGCGUUAUCCGGAUUCAUUGGGCGUAAAGCGCGCGUAGGCGGAUGCCUAAGCGGGACCUCUAACCCGGGGGCUCAACCCCCGGCCGGGUCCCGAACUGGGCGUCUCGAGUGCGGUAGGGGCAGGUGGAAUUCCAUGUGUAGCGGUGGAAUGCGCAGAUAUAUGGAAGAACACCGACGGCGAAGGCAGCCUGCUGGGCCGACACUGACGCUGAGGUGCGAAAGCGCGGGGAGCGAACAG
RNAcentral lists this ribosomal RNA (250 nucleotides) under uncultured bacterium. RNAcentral describes it as "partial 16S ribosomal RNA". It matches the Rfam family "Bacterial small subunit ribosomal RNA", at positions 525 to 775 of the family's 1533-position model. The record is from RNAcentral.